UUUAUAAGGUGUGUUUUCUGCAAUCAGAACCAACAAGGUGUUGAGCGAUCAGUCAUAAACGCACUUCUUCAAAAAGAGAGGGAGAGAAGCUCAGCAUUGUGUGGCGGGGGAAUAAUCCUCAUGACAGUUCUCUCCCCACCCAGUGAUGUUUUGUCUUGGCACCUGGGAAGUGCAGUGACGGCUGGAGCUCUGGACGGACUCUCUUCGCCACGCGUGCCCCUGGAAGCAGGGUCCCUGUGAACUACGGAGAGACCCCAGAGGAGAGAUUUCCUUAUUGUGUAAACACAAAUCAGUCGUCUCAAGGUGUUGACCUCCUCUCUCGUUAUUUAAUUGAUGAUGAUCGGUAGAAAUUAUGUCUGGGUGAUACGAAGUUUACCCACAGAGAGAACCCUGCUUUCUGAAUUGAAAUCCUCAGCAGAACUCUUCCAUCAUUCAUAAAUGAGAUAGCCCAAAGUUCUAAG
Molecule: long non-coding RNA, 461 nt
Filed under: Pan troglodytes (chimpanzee)
Lineage: Eukaryota; Metazoa; Chordata; Mammalia; Primates; Hominidae
Description: long non-coding RNA NONPTRT000343
Source: RNAcentral